CCACCAGAAGAGUCACCAGCCGGAUCCCUGUGCCGAGCACGUCCACGUCAUGCACGAUUCCGUUCACUGCUGCUUUCAAAAAACAAAGAGUUUGGAGAAACGCAUUUCCUCUCUUUCCCCAUUGUUUCAACGGCUGGUUUUUGGCAUUUCUCUCCUCUUGCACUGAAGAGCUUGGUCUGCCGGUUCGCAGCUCUCGCAACACCUCAUUUAAAGUGAUUUAUCUUGCCCAAUUGACAAUCUCCUUUAAAAUCAGCUUUCACCCAGCAAUAAUAGCUGGUUACAGUUCAUGUUUUGCAGAGAGGUUGAUUCUGACUCAUUAUGGCCAACGCUGUGCCAUACACAGCUGAAUAAAGUUCUGGUGGAUAUCCAAUUCCUGACUGUCAACUGUUGACCUCACAACUGCUUCCCCAUUGAUAUCACCAUCUGUUGUCAUGGGAAAGAUUGUCUGAUAUUUGGGUUAAAUGCCACUGAAGUCAUUCAAUUUCCAUGUGGAAAAAUAACCCAAAGUGAAUUGCCCCCGUGAGGUGCGGAAGCUAUUUUUCCCAGAGAUAGUGAAUCGAAGAGAACAUCCAAAUAAAAGCAAAACAAAAACCUC
This is a long non-coding RNA of Felis catus (domestic cat), 595 nucleotides long. RefSeq lists it as uncharacterized. The transcript has 2 exons. NCBI's taxonomy places the organism in Eukaryota, Metazoa, Chordata, Mammalia, Carnivora, Felidae. The record is from RefSeq and is a predicted model, not a curated record.